RNAcentral lists this ribosomal RNA (641 nucleotides) under uncultured marine eukaryote. RNAcentral describes it as "bacterial SSU rRNA". It matches the Rfam family "Eukaryotic small subunit ribosomal RNA", at positions 1 to 598 of the family's 1831-position model. The record is from RNAcentral.
AACCUGGUUGAUCCUGCCAGUAGUCAUAUGCUUGUUUCAAGGACUAAGCCAUGCAAGUCUCAGAGUAAAUGGAUCACAGUAGGUCUGCAGACAGCUCAUUAAACCAGCUUCAAUCUACGCGGAGAAACUGCCUUUUGGCAGACCAUUGGAUAACUUUGGUAACCCCAAAGCUAAUACAUGUCAGUAAAACCUGCACAGAUUCCACCCUGAGGCCCCGGUCUUGGGGCUGUGCCAGGUGCAAUUGACCGAAACAAAAACCAACGCUAGCAAUAGCAGUGGUGAUUGGAUGACUCAGGUCAAUCGAGUAGUAGCGCAUUCUUCGGAGGCGCUUGUCCGCAUGAGAAUCUGCCCUAUCAGCUUUUGACGGUAGUGUAGUGGACUACCGUGGCUGUAACGGGUAACGGGGAAUUAGGGUUCGAUUCCGGAGAGGGAGCCUGAGAAACGGCUACCACAACUAAGGUUGGCAGCAGGCGCGCAAAUUGCCCAAUAGCAACACAUCGCUGAGGCAGCGAAGAGAAAUAGCAACUUCAUGCGGCCCUGCCGUGUGAAGAUUGCCAUGGACGAUAUCUAAACCUGUCGGUGAGUAUCAAUUGGUGGACAAGUCUGGUGCCAGCACCCGCGGUAAUUCCAGCACCAAUAGC